Molecule: long non-coding RNA, 644 nt
Organism: Triticum dicoccoides
Lineage: Eukaryota; Viridiplantae; Streptophyta; Magnoliopsida; Poales; Poaceae
Exons: 3
Source: RefSeq, a predicted model, not a curated record
AUCGAUCAGAUAUGGAUGAGAUAGUUCUGUGGGCUUUGGUACCCCAAUGGUAUGACACUAGCCACAGACGGCUUUGGAUUUGUGCCUUGGUUCAGGUACUUAACAUUUGAUUUGCUGCCUCAUGAUUUCCCUCGGCUGGCUUGCGUGUGCAGGUACUAAUCUUGGUGUGAGCUCAAGGUAAAAGGCAAAGCCUGAAGGUAGGCAAUCAUCAUUAGCUAGGUAGUUAUACAUGGUCUGCUUACUUAGCAUAAUUUGGAAGUAUUAAAUACAGUACUCAAUAUUAGUUGUCUUUUGAAAAAUAUGCCAGUCUUGUUUGUCGCAUACAUAUUAUUAAUCUAGAAGAAACCAAGAGCAGACACUCACACUUUGGUCGAACCCACAUUUUAAACCUGGGAUAAGUAGAUAUCAGUUGUACUUAAUGGUUAUAAAUAUGUUUUUUCCCAAUAUCUGAAGUAUUGCGACGGAGCGAGAUAUCUAAAUACCACCAGCAAUUAUUAGUGUUUCUUGCACAAUUCAAAGAACUUAACAUUUAUCCUGAAAGUAAUCAUAAAUCAAUGGUAGAUAGAAUCAACUAAUUAAAAUAACCUCGUGCUAUUUAUUUUCCUAUAGUAUUGGAAGUUUUGUUAGUGCCCAUGCAUCUGCAU